This 72-nucleotide transfer RNA is filed under the name Heliconius melpomene (postman butterfly). Its description in RNAcentral is "tRNA HMEL012195". It matches the Rfam family "tRNA". Rfam says of the family: Transfer RNA (tRNA) molecules are approximately 80 nucleotides in length. Lineage: Eukaryota; Metazoa; Arthropoda; Insecta; Lepidoptera; Nymphalidae. The record is from RNAcentral.
AGCCCUGUAGUGUAAUGGAUAUCACGUCUGCCGUCAGUUCUGAAGAUCCAGGUUCGAUUCCUGACAGGCCCU